CAGGCCUAACACAUGCAAGUCGAGCGGUAACAUUUCUAGCUUGCUAGAAGAUGACGAGCGGCGGACGGGUGAGUAACGCGUAGAAAUCUACCUAGUAGUGGGGGAUAGCCCAGAGAAAUUUGGAUUAAUACCGCAUACGCCCUACGGGGGAAAGCGGGGGAUCUUCGGACCUCGUGCUAUUAGAUGAGUCUGCGUCGGAUUAGCUUGUUGGUGAGGUAAUGGCUCACCAAGGCGACGAUCCGUAGCUGGUCUGAGAGGAUGACCAGCCACACUGGAACUGAGACACGGUCCAGACUCCUACGGGAGGCAGCAGUGGGGAAUAUUGCACAAUGGGCGCAAGCCUGAUGCAGCCAUGCCGCGUGUGUGAAGAAGGCCUUAGGGUUGUAAAGCACUUUCAGCAGUGAGGAGAGGGGUGUCGUUAAUAGCGCCAUCCUGUGACGUUAACUGCAGAAGAAGGACCGGCUAACUCCGUG
This 473-nucleotide ribosomal RNA is filed under the name uncultured bacterium. RNAcentral's name for it is "bacterial SSU rRNA". It matches the Rfam family "Bacterial small subunit ribosomal RNA", at positions 43 to 507 of the family's 1533-position model. The record is from RNAcentral.